AUUGAACGCUGGCGGCAUGCUUUACACAUGCAAGUCGAACGGUAACAGGCCGCAAGGUGCUGACGAGUGGCGAACGGGUGAGUAAUGCAUCGGAACGUGCCCAGUCGUGGGGGAUAACUACUCGAAAGAGUAGCUAAUACCGCAUACGAUCUAUGGAUGAAAGCGGGGGACCGUAAGGCCUCGCGCGAUUGGAGCGGCCGAUGUCAGAUUAGGUAGUUGGUGGGGUAAAGGCUCACCAAGCCAACGGUCUGUAGCUGGUCUGAGAGGACAACCAGCCACACUGGGACUGAGACACGGCCCAGACUCCUACGGGAGGCAGCAGUGGGGAAUUUUGGACAAUGGGCGCAAGCCCGAUCCAGCAAUGCCGCGUGCAGGAAGAAGGCCUUCGGGUUGUAAACUGCUUUUGUACGGAACGAAACGGCUCUGGUUAAUACCCGGGGCUAAUGACGGUACCGUAAGAAUAAGCACCGGCUAACUACGUG
Molecule: ribosomal RNA, 482 nt
Filed under: uncultured bacterium
Lineage: Bacteria
Description: partial 16S ribosomal RNA
Rfam family: Bacterial small subunit ribosomal RNA
Source: RNAcentral